This is a long non-coding RNA of Linepithema humile (Argentine ant), 1258 nucleotides long. RefSeq lists it as uncharacterized. NCBI's taxonomy places the organism in Eukaryota, Metazoa, Arthropoda, Insecta, Hymenoptera, Formicidae. The record is from RefSeq and is a predicted model, not a curated record.
CUUCCUCAUGCAACCGUCUAAUGAAGGAAGUGCGAGCGAGACAGUUAGGGCAGCUCGGUGUCCCUAUCGAUGUCUCGUUCGCUCUAACAUUUAUGUGUCGUGCUUUUCUUUCUUUCUUUUAAGAAACAUAGCUGAGCCCAUAGAACUUAUAUACAUGGAAAGAGAAUAAGAGCAAACAAUUGUACUCAAGAAGUGAGACAAAUAUAUAUAGUGCUGUCUUAUUCUGUUACUCUUUCUGUAAGAACGCAUAGUAAGCCAUAGUAAAAUUGUGUUAAUAUCUGUUUAUAUCAAUCUUUGUCAGGCUUUGUGAGAUCACGUAAUGUACAACACGUGUACGAACAUCAAAAUUUGUAAAAAUUUUAAUGAUUUUUGCAUUGUGCGUGUAGUUUAAAAAAGUUGAAGAAAAUGGUUGUGUACUGUGUGCUAUGUGGCAAUCGCAGCAAAACUGCAUUUUAUCAUCGGUUUCCAAAAAACAGAGUAUUAAAGAUCAAUGGUUGUCUUUUUGUGGAAUCAAAGAAGAGAUUCUUAAUACAGCAACGUUCCUUUGCUCGCAUCAUUUCAAGGAGGAAUAUUUAAAACAAAAAUUAAAUUGCACUAUUGUAAUUCCAGGAGCAACGCCAUCAAUCAUAUUCCAAAAAAAUCAAAGAAAAGAUCAAAUGUAGCCAACAAAUCUACAUACGAGCUGCCAAUGAAAAAAAUUAAUGUGAAUGGAAUCGAGCCAGCUACUGAAAUCGAGAUUUCUGUUGAUAAGAAGUUACUGGAUGUACAUUGAUUGAAGAUCCAAUUGAUGUCGAUACUCAUUGCAAUGAGUCUUCGGUGCAGUACACUGCUGACAGCAACAAAGGAUCUGCAAAUGAAUUCGUGCAAGCAGGCACGUGUCGAACACCUCCAAGAACGAUUUUCGAACCUCGCUACGUUGGUGAUAUCCGAAGUCCACACUUAGCUACACCUCGAAGAGCAAAACGAACUGUAGCUUUAGCGAGAGGAGUUAUUGAUAAACAAAAAAAAACAAUUAGGACGUUGCAACAUUCAAGAAACCGAUUUCAUGCACGUAUUAAAAAUAUGAAAAAUUUAGUUAAUGAAUUGAAAGAAAAGAAUUUAAUUUCUGAAAGUGCAUUUGACAGUUUAACGGUAAGCUUGCACAAUAUACUUAUUAAUUACACUACAAGUUAAUUAUCUAAGUAGAAAGUUUCUCUCAUUUUCCAAAAUUACAUAAAGGGCCGAUACUAAUAAAGAAAAUGCUAUAUAGAAAAAUUUA